GUGCCAGCCGCCGCGGUAAUACGAGGGGGGCAAGCGUUGUUCGGAAUUAUUGGGCGUAAAGGGUGCGUAGGCGGUUUUGUAAGUCUUGUGUGAAAUCUUCAGGCUCAACUUGAAGACUGCACGAGAAACUGCAGGGCUUGAGUGUGGGAGAGGUGAGUGGAAUUCCUGGUGUAGCGGUGAAAUGCGUAGAUAUCAGGAGGAACACCUGUGGCGAAAGCGGCUCACUGGACCACAACUGACGCUGAUGCACGAAAGCUAGGGGAGCAAACAGGAUUAGAUACCCGCGUAGUCC
RNAcentral lists this ribosomal RNA (292 nucleotides) under uncultured bacterium. RNAcentral's name for it is "partial 16S ribosomal RNA". It matches the Rfam family "Bacterial small subunit ribosomal RNA", at positions 505 to 796 of the family's 1533-position model. The record is from RNAcentral.